CAACCCUCAAGCCCGGCUUGGCAUUGGGCCUGGCCUGGACGGCCGGCCCCAAAGACAGUGGCGGUGCUGCCCGGCCCUGAGCGCAGUACAGCUCUCGCUCUAGGGUCCGGCGGCGGCCUGCCAGAACCCCCGACACCGU
RNAcentral lists this unclassified non-coding RNA (139 nucleotides) under uncultured Oidiodendron. RNAcentral describes it as "sequence contains ITS2". Lineage: Eukaryota; Fungi; Ascomycota; Leotiomycetes; Myxotrichaceae. The record is from RNAcentral.